This 41-nucleotide ribosomal RNA is filed under the name Phomopsis limonii. RNAcentral's name for it is "partial 28S ribosomal RNA". RNAcentral also lists the same sequence under 2 other names. The record is from RNAcentral. Lineage: Eukaryota; Fungi; Ascomycota; Sordariomycetes; Diaporthales; Diaporthaceae.
UUUGACCUCGGAUCAGGUAGGAAUACCCGCUGAACUUAAGC